This 440-nucleotide ribosomal RNA is filed under the name uncultured Pseudomonas sp. Its description in RNAcentral is "bacterial SSU rRNA". It matches the Rfam family "Bacterial small subunit ribosomal RNA", at positions 358 to 790 of the family's 1533-position model. Lineage: Bacteria; Pseudomonadati; Pseudomonadota; Gammaproteobacteria; Pseudomonadales; Pseudomonadaceae. The record is from RNAcentral.
GGAAUAUUGGACAAUGGGCGAAAGCCUGAUCCAGCCAUGCCGCGUGUGUGAAGAAGGUCUUCGGAUUGUAAAGCACUUUAAGUUGGGAGGAAGGGCAGUAAGCGAAUACCUUGCUGUUUUGACGUUACCGACAGAAUAAGCACCGGCUAACUCUGUGCCAGCAGCCGCGGUAAUACAGAGGGUGCAAGCGUUAAUCGGAAUUACUGGGCGUAAAGCGCGCGUAGGUGGUUUGUUAAGUUGGAUGUGAAAUCCCCGGGCUCAACCUGGGAACUGCAUUCAAAACUGACAAGCUAGAGUAUGGUAGAGGGUGGUGGAAUUUCCUGUGUAGCGGUGAAAUGCGUAGAUAUAGGAAGGAACACCAGUGGCGAAGGCGACCACCUGGACUGAUACUGACACUGAGGUGCGAAAGCGUGGGGAGCAAACAGGAUUAGAUACCCCAG